Molecule: ribosomal RNA, 244 nt
Filed under: uncultured bacterium
Lineage: Bacteria
Description: partial 16S ribosomal RNA
Rfam family: Bacterial small subunit ribosomal RNA
Source: RNAcentral
UACGUAGGGCGCGAGCGUUGUCCGGAUUUAUUGGGCGUAAAGAGCUCGUAGGCGGCUCGUUGCGUCAACCGUGAAAACCCGGGGCUUAACUUCGGGCUUGCGGUUGAUACGGGCGGGCUGGAGUUCGGUAGGGGAGACUGGAAUUCCGGGUGUAGCGGUGGAAUGCGUAGAGAUCCGGAAGAACACCGGUGGCGAAGGCGGUCUGCUGGGCAGUUUCUGACACUGAUGCGCGACAGCGUGGGGA